UCGUGCUAGAUGGGGAGGUAGCGGUGCCCUGUAACCCACAAUCCGCUAUAGUGGGGUCGAUGCCCGGCAGCGGGUCUGUUUCAUGGGGUCCGGUCUCCGUAAGUGGUGUGGACGGUUGGGUCCUGCGCAACACAAGCUCUCGAACCGUGUCAGGUCCUGACGGAAGCAGCACUAAGGGAUGUCUUGGGUGUGCCGCGGGAGUGCCUGGCCUGAGCUAACUGCGGGGAUAACGCCUGGGAGGCAGGAUUCAAUGCCGGGUGCACGG
This 265-nucleotide signal recognition particle RNA is filed under the name Carboxydocella thermautotrophica. RNAcentral's name for it is "Bacterial large signal recognition particle RNA". It matches the Rfam family "Bacterial large signal recognition particle RNA". Rfam says of the family: The signal recognition particle (SRP) is a universally conserved ribonucleoprotein involved in the co-translational targeting of proteins to membranes. Archaeal SRP consists of a 7S RNA and homologues of the eukaryotic SRP19 and SRP54 proteins. The record is from RNAcentral. Lineage: Bacteria; Bacillati; Bacillota; Clostridia; Eubacteriales; Clostridiales Family XVI. Incertae Sedis. RNAcentral also lists the same sequence under 1 other name.